Molecule: ribosomal RNA, 250 nt
Filed under: uncultured bacterium
Lineage: Bacteria
Description: partial 16S ribosomal RNA
Rfam family: Bacterial small subunit ribosomal RNA
Source: RNAcentral
UACGUAGGGUGCGAGCGUUAAUCGGAAUUACUGGGCGUAAAGCGUGCGCAGGCGGUUUGUUAAGACAGAUGUGAAAUCCCCCGGGCUUAACCUGGGAACUGCAUUUGUGACUGGCAAGCUAGAGUAUGGCAGAGGGGGGUAGAAUUCCACGUGUAGCAGUGAAAUGCGUAGAGAUGUGGAGGAAUACCGAUGGCGAAGGCAGCCCCCUGGGCCAAUACUGACGCUCAUGCACGAAAGCGUGGGGAGCAAC